This is a long non-coding RNA of Arachis duranensis, 1474 nucleotides long. RefSeq lists it as uncharacterized. The transcript is spliced from 2 exons. The record is from RefSeq and is a predicted model, not a curated record. NCBI's taxonomy places the organism in Eukaryota, Viridiplantae, Streptophyta, Magnoliopsida, Fabales, Fabaceae.
UUUAAAUUUUAUAUGUAUUUAGCUUAUAAUAAACUAAGUGGUGUGUCCAGUGGCCCUUAUCGUUUCAUCCGUAGCUUUGGUCUAUAGAAGUUUAGCAUUGUGAGUUAUCAUAUCUUACGUCUUAUUGGCAUAUUUUUGGUAAUUUUUGGAUGGUUUAUGGGCGGAAUAACUAAAAAGGAGUAAAAGAAACUACAGAACACAUAUUACUAGCAUUAGGAACAAUAUUUAAAUGAUUUAUUGUGAAUCAAAUUGAUCUCUUGGCUAUUGGUACACUUUUGAUAUUGCAAAUGGAACUUUCUCCGAUUCAAGAAUCAAGUCACAUGUGCAGUUGUUCCACUUCUAAUAUUGAUUUUUUCUUUGUGGUAUAGCAUUUGUUAGUCUUAGCCAUUUCAUGCUUUUAAUCACUUUUGAUGUCAUUACUUAAUCAAAUCGGAAAGCCCUUGAUUUCUCCUUAAUGAACUAUGACACUUAUGAUUGAUGUGAAAAAAGUUUUAUAAUUGCAUAAUUUGCUAUAUCUAUUGGAGAUCUUACAAGACUGAAAAAUAUCUAACACUUUUGGUGGUACAUGGGCAGAACAUCUAAAGAGGAGUAAAAAUUUUUGCAUCAUCAUUUUAACAUUUUUGUUCUAUAAUAUAUUUGUUACUAAAGUGAUAAUUUCUUACAUGAUUGUAGCCAUAAUUUUUCUUACAUAAUUUCUUAAAUUCAAAGAAAAUAUAUAGAGAUAGUGAUCAAUAGUAAAUUGCUUUAUAUUAUGACAGUUUCUUUAUAGAUACUAGAAAUAGAUGAUGUAAUAGUGGUGCAUACUAGAGGUUGCCAUAGCAAGAGCUGUUUUACAUAGUAUAUAUAUCUAGGGAUAGUUGUUUAUAUAGGGUGCAUAAAUUUUUCAAACUGAACCCACUAGAACUUGAUUUCAUAAGAACACUUAUAUUCUCUAGCUAAUUGAAAUGGUACAAGGUAACACAAUAGUUUCUUUUAAUGUGGAUUAGGAAUUUGAAUUUUAACAACUAUAUAUAAGCUUACCAAUACAAUGAUAAAUAAACACUUCAGGUUUAUUCCAAUGCACCGGAUGGGAAUGAAUCCUUGGCUUUGGACAUGGGAAGCAUGGGGAAGAUACUGGAUGGUUUAUGGAAAUGGUGGGUGCAAUUCUUACAGAUAUCCUGAGUUGAUUCCACUUUGCUAUAAAGUGCCAACUCAUGGGAAGCAAAAGGUGAUGAUUUGGAAAGUUGACAGGAGGAACGGGCUGCGGUAGCAGAUUCAUGCCAGAUUGACUGUGGCCACAGCAAGGGUCAAGGACUUAGAAGGUUUCAUUAAUUGUUGAUAUUUGUCUUUUUAACUGUUAUGAAUGUUUAAAGUAUGUGUUGAGAUAGUUAUAUUUAGAGCAUGAGUGCUCAAAUUCAAUUUGGAACACUUAUGUGGCAUUAAAUAAACAUUUGUGUAUGUCUUUUUAACAUUAGUUGUAUUUGUUGUUUGAAAA